UGGGGAAUAUUGCACAAUGGGCGCAAGCCUGAUGCAGCCAUGCCGCGUGUGUGAAGAAGGCCUUCGGGUUGUAAAGCACUUUCAGCGAGGAGGAAGGUGGUGAGCUUAAUACGCUCAUCAAUUGACGUUACUCGCAGAAGAAGCACCGGCUAACUCCGUGCCAGCAGCCGCGGUAAUACGGAGGGUGCAAGCGUUAAUCGGAAUUACUGGGCGUAAAGCGCACGCAGGCGGUUUGUUAAGUCAGAUGUGAAAUCCCCCGGGCUCAACCUGGGAACUGCAUUUGAAACUGGCAAGCUAGAGUCUCGUAGAGGGGGGUAGAAUUCCAGGUGUAGCGGUGAAAUGCGUAGAGAUCUGGAGGAAUACCGGUGGCGAAGGCGGCCCCCUGGACGAAGACUGACGCUCAGGUGCGAAAGCGUGGGGCAGCAAACAGGAUUAGAUACCCUGGUAGUCCAGCGCUGUAAAACGAUGUCGAUUUGGAGGUUGUGCCCUUGAGGCGUGGGCUUCCGGAGCUAACGCGUUAAAUCGACCGCCUGGGGGAGUACGGCC
RNAcentral lists this ribosomal RNA (546 nucleotides) under uncultured bacterium. Its description in RNAcentral is "partial 16S ribosomal RNA". It matches the Rfam family "Bacterial small subunit ribosomal RNA", at positions 355 to 887 of the family's 1533-position model. The record is from RNAcentral.